This 605-nucleotide ribosomal RNA is filed under the name Candidatus Levybacteria bacterium RIFCSPLOWO2_12_FULL_41_12. Its description in RNAcentral is "bacterial SSU rRNA". It matches the Rfam family "Bacterial small subunit ribosomal RNA", at positions 911 to 1533 of the family's 1533-position model. The record is from RNAcentral. Lineage: Bacteria; Candidatus Levyibacteriota.
UGACGGGGACCCGCACAACCGGUGGAGCGUGUGGUUCAAUUCGAGACAAAACGAAGAACCUCACCAGGGUUUGACAUAAUACCGUACAUUUUCCUGGAAACAGGAAGAAAUCCGCAAGGAUGGUACUACAGGUGCUGCAUGGCUGUCGUCAGCUCGUGCCGUGAGGUGUUCCCUUAAGUGGGGAAACGAGCGCAACCCGCGCCAAAUGUUAAAUAUUCAUUUGGGACUGCCCCAGUUUUACUGGGAAGGAAGGAGCGGAAGACGUCAAGUCAGCAUGGUCCUUAUACCCUGGGCUACACACACACUACAAUGGCGAAAAACAACGUGUUGCAAGCCGGCAACGGCAAGCUAAUCACUCAAAUUUCGCCUCAGUUCAGAUUGGGGGCUGAAACUCGCCCUCAUGAAGUCGGAAUCGGUAGUAAUCGCGGAUCAGCAAGCCGCGGUGAAUACGUUCUCGGGUCUUGUACACACCGCCCGUCAAGGCAGCAAAGUCGGGAGUAGACGAACUACGAUUUUUUUCGUGGGAGUCUAAAUUCGGCGAUGAAGCUUAAGUCGUAACAAGGUAUCCCUAGCCGAAGCUGGGGAUGGAUCACCUCCUUUCUAAG